Long non-coding RNA from Eriocheir sinensis (Chinese mitten crab), 796 nucleotides. RefSeq lists it as uncharacterized. NCBI's taxonomy places the organism in Eukaryota, Metazoa, Arthropoda, Malacostraca, Decapoda, Varunidae. The record is from RefSeq and is a predicted model, not a curated record. The transcript is spliced from 2 exons.
UCCAAGCCUCUUCGUCCUCAUCGGGCGGGGCGUAGCAAAUCACUCUGUUUAACUAUUUAGCUCAACGUUGGCGUGGCUAAUCAGAUUCCACCGAGCCAAUGAAGGAAUGAACACGAAAGACCGACUUAUUGACUGACUGACUGAUUAACUGACUAAAAGCAUUGGAUCACAUUUGACUGAGGAAGCGACACGAAUUUUUCACUUUACACUUCGUUCAUGUUUUAAAUGCUACUCUCCCUCCCUUCCUCUCUUCCUCCGUGUCCACUCCUCCUCCUGGUCCUACUCCUAACCCUUUCCCUCACCCCACCUGGCACCUGCGCACUCCACUCUCCGCCUGACUUACUCGGGGACUCUCAAAUAACGCCGGAGAGGAGAGGUGAGGCCAGACCCCCAUCGGCGCGCCUCCGUGCUGGACUGCCUGGGAAGGGAGGGCGAGAGAGCGAGGGAAAGAGUGAGAGCCAGACCGAGAGCGCUGGAGGGAGGAGUGACCUGCCAGCCAGCAAAGGCGCGCGAGCUCAGUAACUUUCUGUCAGUGGACGAGAGAGGAACGUCGCGCUGCGCUCUCUCACCGGUGACUCGUGCCGCCGCCUGUGCCGCUGAAGGAAACUUGCAAUCUCGGCUUGUUCGCGUGUUGGAGGUGGACUAGGCGACCCCUCAGCGUCCCGGAGGAAAGCAGGGUUUUUUUUUUCUUUACGACUCCUCCCCCUUACGUACGUCCAGCCACAAAAGGGAACGCUGAAAAAAAGGAGAAGAAGAGUGGGCUUAUGUGAACCGUGAAGUCUAUAAAACCGAGAGA